GCCCGUGUGGCUCAGUGGAUAGAGCGCGGCCUGCAGACUGAAGGGUCCCGGCUCGAUUCCGGUCAAGGGCA
Molecule: transfer RNA, 71 nt
Filed under: Myotis brandtii (Brandt's bat)
Lineage: Eukaryota; Metazoa; Chordata; Mammalia; Chiroptera; Vespertilionidae
Rfam family: tRNA
About the family: Transfer RNA (tRNA) molecules are approximately 80 nucleotides in length.
Source: Rfam by way of RNAcentral